AACGAACGCUGGCGGCAUGCCUAACACAUGCAAGUCGAACGAGACCUUCGGGUCUAGUGGCGCACGGGUGCGUAACGCGUGGGAAUCUGCCCUUGGGUUCGGAAUAACAGUGAGAAAUUACUGCUAAUACCUGAUGAUGUCUUCGGACCAAAGAUUUAUCGCCCAGGGAUGAGCCCGCGUAGGAUUAGCUAGUUGGUGGGGUAAUGGCCUACCAAGGCGACGAUCCUUAGCUGGUCUGAGAGGAUGAUCAGCCACACUGGGACUGAGACACGGCCCAGACUCCUACGGGAGGCAGCAGUGGGGAAUAUUGGACAAUGGGCGCAAGCCUGAUCCAGCAAUGCCGCGUGAGUGAUGAAGGCCUUAGGGUUGUAAAGCUCUUUUACCCGGGAUGAUAAUGACAGUACCGGGAGAAUAAGCUCCGGCUAACUCCGUG
This 433-nucleotide ribosomal RNA is filed under the name uncultured bacterium. RNAcentral describes it as "partial 16S ribosomal RNA". It matches the Rfam family "Bacterial small subunit ribosomal RNA", at positions 29 to 507 of the family's 1533-position model. The record is from RNAcentral.